Molecule: ribosomal RNA, 411 nt
Filed under: Triticum aestivum (bread wheat)
Lineage: Eukaryota; Viridiplantae; Streptophyta; Magnoliopsida; Poales; Poaceae
Description: partial small subunit ribosomal RNA
Source: RNAcentral
AUGAGCCUGGCUACCAUAUGGAGCAUGUAUGAAGAGGAGACAAAACAAAGGCUACAAGAAAAUGUGUUGAGUGCUGAACAGAACUUGAAGAUCAUGGAAGAGAAGACAAAAAUGGAGAAUGAGCUGAGACAUUUCAAGCUUGAUUUUGCCAAGAUGGUGGCUGAAAAGGAGCAGGCAAUGAGUCAAUUAGGCAACACACAAAUUGCUCUGGCUGAUCUAAAGGAAGAGCUUGAAAAGAAAAAGAGCACUGACAAAUCUGUAACAAACAUUUAUCAGGUAUUCAGGGCUAAGGCAGAGAAAGAGAGGGAGCAAGUCAUACAGGAGAGGGAUCAAUUGAAGCAAGAGAAGAGAAAGCUUGAGUACAUGAUAGUGACUUAUUCAAACACAAAGAGGAGACCAAGGAGAAGAUAA